UUAACUGGAGUCGCUCCCGCAGGGGUCUUAUUGCUGAGUCUGAAAUCAGCCCUGCGUGUCUCCACUCGCCGCUUGUGCGCGUGAGUGAGUUUUAGUAACUUCCAUCGUCCGAAAGGAGAGAUUGUGAAAAACUGAAACGUGUCAUCUCGUCAAUGUCUCUGUUUGACUCGUUUCACGAGGACACACCGGCCUUGACAGAGAAAAUACUAGAGAGAGCCACCCACACCCACUGUUGGAGAUGGUUUUACUUGCUCUCUCUUCGUCUCUCUGCUUUCACUCGACUAUGUUAAGCUAAAUCUCGCUAUUGGCACUUGGCUUGAAAUCUGAAUGCACUUUGGGGCUCUUUCCAUUACAGUGAACUUUCAGGAGUUUUGCUUCUUUUAUCAGUUAGAAAUGGAUGCUGGUGAAGCUUCUGUAGAUGUACAUGAUCAUGGCUCAAUUAUUGAUUCAAAAAAGCAUAGAGUUCAGUGCAAUUAUUGUGGUAAAGUGGUGACUACCUUCUCUCGUCUGAAGUGCCACUUAGGAGGAAUACGUGGAGAUGUAAGACCUUGUGAGAAAGUUCGUGAAGGUGUUAAGGAAUCAUUCAGAAAGAAGCUAAUGGAAACUAAACGAGAUGGUAUUGAUAAGGCAGUUGGGAAACUUUGUCACCCGGAUCUUCCCUUGAAGAGAAAUUGGUGCCACAAUUCAUCAUCUAUCAAGAAGAACAAGCUUGAAACCACUCAAACUGCCGGUUGCGGGAAUGGAAGGCAUCCAGAGAUGGAUGUUAUGGUAGAGGAUGGUGUGCCAGAAUCUUCACCUGUUAUUGGAGAAGAACUUUCCAAAAAAGCUUGUGAUGGUGAAGAAAAUAGAGAUCUGUUAUCAGUGCAGACCAAGAAGUCUAUUGGCAGGUUUUUCUAUGAAAUGGGUAUCGAAUUAGGUGUUGUCAAUUCUCAGAGCUUCCAUUCGAUGCUGAAUGCUACUCUUGGUCAAGGUCAGGCCAACUAUAAGAUCCCCACUUUGCAGGAGCUGAAGGGGUGGGUUCUCCAGGAUGAAGUGAAAGAAAUGCGAGAAUAUGCGAAAACGGUUAGAGAUUCAUGGGAAAUUUCCGGGUGCAGUAUCUUGUUGGAUGCAUGGAUUGAUGAUAAGAGUCGAAACCUUGUUAAUUUUGUGGUGGAAUGCCCAAAGGGCCCUAUAUUUCUUCGGUCAUCUGAUAUUUCGUCUAUCAUUGAUGAUGUUGAUGCCUUACAAUCAUUGUUGAAUGAAGUUAUAGAGGAGAUUGGAGCUGAAAAUGUGGUUCAAAUUGUAGCAUGUUCUACAGAGGGCUGGAUGAAGGCUCUUCGCGAGGAGUAUAGAAUCCGGAAUAGGCCAAUUUUUUGGACUGUGAGUGUCUCUCAUUGUAUUGCGCUCAUACUUGGGAAGAUUGGAAUGAUGGAUUCUAUUAGAGGGAUAUUAGAUAAGGCCAAGAUAAUUUCAAAGUUCAUUUAUGGCCAUGCAACAGUUUUGAAGCUUUGGAAAAACCAGACAUGCGAUCGUGAAUUGAUCAAGCCCUCCAAGAUAAAACCAGCGAUGCCUUUUAUGACUUUAGAGAAUAUGGUAGAGGAAAAGAGAACCUUGAAGCACAUGUUUUCCUCAUCUGAGUGGAUAUCAUCGGAAUGGGCUUCAACAGUGGAGGGGAAGAAAGUAGCUGAUUUGGUGGGGACUCCAUCUUUCUGGAGUGGAGCUGGGAUGGUCCUGAAGGGCACUAUACCAUUGGUGCAUCUUCUAUCCUUGAUCCAUGGGGAUAAUACACCGCAAAUGGCCAACAUUUAUGAGACCAUGGAUCAAGUGAAGGAGACAAUUAAAGAGGAAUUUCAAAACAAGAAGUCCGAGUACGAUCCCUUCUGGAAAGUGAUUGAUCAGAUUUGGGAUACCUACCUCCAUAGCCCCCUUCAUGCUGCAGCUUAUUUCUUGAAUCCAAGCUUAUUUUAUUCAGAGGAUUUCUACACUGACACUGAGGUGGCCUUUGGUAUUUUGUGCUGUGUUGUAAAAAUGGUAAAAGACCAGCGUAGUCAAGAUAUAGUGUCUUUGCAACUUUACGAGUAUAAAAAUGCUGGAGGUUCGUUUAAAGAGGGGAGUGCCAUUGACAAAAGAACCGAUAUUACUCCUUUUCAGUGGUGGUCACAGUAUGGUAGACAGUAUCCUGAAUUGCAGAAGUUGGCUAUCAGAAUUUUGAGCCAGACAUGCGAUGACGCCUCAAAAUAUGGGCUCAAGAGGAGUAUGGCUGAGAAACUGCUCAUAAGUGGAAGAAAUGUCAUCGAGCAACAACGAAUGUGUGACUUGGCAUUUGUUCAUUACAGUUUACAACUACAAAACUCUUGGUCAGACAUAAACAGAGACAUUAUGGCUGAUGAGAUUGAUCCUAUGGAUGACUGGAUCAGUGACAAUGUUGUGGAGAUUGCAUCCCAAAAUGGUGAAUCAGCAUGGAUUGGCAUGGAUAGUUCUGAAGUGCAUAUGCAUGCAGAAGGACCAUCUAACUUUCAACCAAAGGAAGAAGCCUGCUAAGAUGGAACAAGAACAUCUCUUUUAAUUUGAUGCUUUUGAGGUACACAAAUGUCACAUAGUGAUACUUUCUGUACAUAUGUAUGUGUUUACUUUGUGGCUCAAUGUCAUCUAUAGGAUUAGGUGAUGUUCAGGAGCUGACUCAUGGGAUGACCAUUAGGUUUGCCAAAUAUGGUGUGGGUGGUGUUUCUCAAAAGGGUCAAGGAUCCGUUUCAAAGAGUUUAUAGGUAAUUUAUACGCUCUACUAAAAUUUUAACAAAAUAGACAUUCAGGGUGCGUCUUCGACAUGAGGAAGUAAAUCGCGAUUUUGUGUGAAGACCGUAGUGACAUCGCGACUUUUAGAGAUUAUGCAUGCUUCCAAUGCUGUCGCCACUUGGUGGGAGUAUGAGAGAUGCGUGUUUCCGGUGAAAACUAUCAAUGUCGUCGCGACUUUGGGUGAGAUUAGUGAAGUAAGUAAAUAAAGGAAGAAGGGUUAUUGCAAUUUCGGAUCUUCAAAUGGGUUGAAAAAGAAAAUCUCAGUCGUUGGUCAGAUUCAAUGGCCAAGAUUUUAGUCUAUAUUUGGGACAUACAUGCAAAAAAACAUUUUCAGUUUUAGAUGUAAUUAUAAUGUGUAAAUGUAUUUUUUUUAAAUAUCAUGU
Molecule: RNA transcript, 3155 nt
Organism: Tripterygium wilfordii
Lineage: Eukaryota; Viridiplantae; Streptophyta; Magnoliopsida; Celastrales; Celastraceae
Exons: 4
Source: RefSeq, a predicted model, not a curated record